CUCCAGGGAGCUUUUCCAGGAGCCUCGCGAUGGGAACCUUCCUUAUAUGCCGAUCGAUUCCCCACUAGAGUGAGAUUCUUGAGAUCAGGCACUUUUGCCUUCAUCUGUUCAGUGAUAAGCGGAGCGUGUCUCAAAUAGUGGUGAUCACAAAGCACUGAGAAUUCAAUCAAAAAUGACUUCAACAUCAGUAAAAACCUUUUCAUGUCAAGAUAUAGUCAAUUGAAUUUUUAGUGACACUGUUCAGAGCUGGUCAUGUCUAGUGUUUCCCAACUCUUUUCUUGAAUCUGGGCAUGAGUAUUGUUUACUUCCAAAACAUAAAAUUCAACUCUUUGUGGUCAAAGUCAAAGUUAUUUGAUGUAGUAAAUUCACUAUCAAAAUAUAAUUUGAUUUUUUGUAACACUCAGAGACAUCUGACAAUUUUUUGUGAAAUCUAAUAAAACAUUAAUUUUCUUAAAAAUUAUUUAAUUCACAAACUAAUGGAAGAUUGAAAUAAUUAAGCCAAAAGUUUUUUUGUGUACUACUUAAAUUAUUUUCUAACUUCCACUUCUCUUCCACAGUAUCUCUUCUGAUAUUCUAUUUACUUUAUGGGGCAGUUCCCAGAGGUAAUCAGUUUUAGUCAUAAAGCACUUCAUUUGACAUUUGACCACACAUUUUAAUUAGUUGAAUUCCAAGAUUCUAAUUAUCUGAUGGAUGAGAAGCUUUCAGUUGCCCCUAUUUAGUUUAUUGAAUUAUACUCUCCUAAUAUAAAGUGUUAUACAUUCUGGAAUGUCUUCUUUCUAAGAAAAAAUGAUUUUUAAUUAGGAUGACAGGCAAAUCACACAGAUGUAACUACUGAAGAAUAUUUUUGUAAUAUAACAUUAUAGCUUUGAUUGAAACCAUAUUAGUUGUCAUUGAUUAAAAUUUUUAUCCUUAAUAAAUAAGCACUUUUAAUGUCUUUAAGUAAAAUAUGUCUGCAUGAAAUACCCUAUCCAAAAUCAAUCAACAACUAUUUCAUUUUUACCAUAUGCCAGGUUCAAAAAAUAAAAAUAUAAGAAACAGUUCCA
Molecule: long non-coding RNA, 1043 nt
Organism: Monodelphis domestica (gray short-tailed opossum)
Lineage: Eukaryota; Metazoa; Chordata; Mammalia; Didelphimorphia; Didelphidae
Source: RefSeq, a predicted model, not a curated record